AAAAUUAUUACUAUCAAACAAGAAUAUGGACAUUUGAAAUAGAGUGAGAAUGUGAGGAGCACACCUUGGCAUUGUUCUUCAAAAUUUCCCAACAUAUGAAGUGAAGAAGAAGAAGAAGAAGAAGAAGAAGAAGAAGAAAGAAGAAAAAGAAAGAGACAGUUAGUGGAGGGCAUGCUCUCUCCCUUACUGUGGAGGGCACAUGCCUUAAGAGACAAAUCUUGUCACCUCUCCUCAAGCCAUAACCUGAUAUUCAGCAACCAAGUCAAAAAAACAGGUUUGACAUCCUCCUAAAGUUGCUCUCUAUUACGAAAAGAUGGUUUUCCAAUUUGCUUCCUCCCUCCCUUCGUGGUGACGUGAUGGCUUGAAAAAAGAGUCAUCAUGAAAUGCAUCUCCCAUGGAAAGGUAUUUUUCUUUCCCCCUUUUUGAAUGGUUGAUGAGAUUUCCAUUGCAUCAAUCAGAUUAAGUAACAGAGAACUUUGGGCUGCAAAGUCUAUGUACAACUUUGAGGAUCUUUUCACUCAAUCAUUUCAAAACUUAAAACUAAAAAAGCCACUAGAGAAUAAUUAAUGCUAACAACAUAAGUUCCCAAUCAUACCUGAUUAACAACUUCAUAAAGUUUAAAAUCUAAAAGGAAUAAUACAUGACAUUCACCUCAGUCUAUAUUAACUAAUGAAUUGCCACUUUAUGACUUCGGGGAAACUAUUUCUUUAGUACAUGUCCAUUGGGGGAUUACUAAAUCCAUCACCCAAAACAAGUUCCUAACUCAUCAAGCUAAGAAAAAGGCCAAAAUCAAUAGCAAUCAUAAAAUUAUCAAAUCAGGGUCUACAAAAAAAAAAUAUAUAUUAAAAACAUACAGUUCAUUUUGUGCAAAAGUUGGUGUAAUGAUUUCUAAAAGAAAUAGUUGGUGCCAUUAUGACAGAUCUUAACCAGACGUUAGAAGAUGAAUCAAAAGGACAAUUGGUAGGCCAAAACGAGUAUCACUAGUUUUAUUUCACCAUCACUGGAGUACAACUUAAGCUUCAAAAAGUAACAACAAAAAACAAAGGAGAGGAAUAAAAACAAGUCAGGCUUCCCUGGUAACAGGUCACACUGCUCGUGGAUGCAAGAGAUUUUAGCGUAAAAGAAAUACAUGACCUAGAAGGAAAUUAGUAAAAUAUUUGAAAAGGCAUGAAAUCAGAAUAUAAUUUUGGGUAUACAGAGGUACCUAUGAAAGGUGCGUCAAUUAGAAAUACUUAACAGAAAAUCAAGAAGUUAUACAUCAAGCUUUAUUAUGCAGUUGAAAGUAAUAACUUCUAAAUAUGUUCCAACUAACUACUCUCCAAAAUUAUUCACUGAGAUUCAGCAGCCAGUGUAAGCUACAAUUUUAUGAUUGUAAGUUGUCAAGUAAUUUUGGGUACAUCCUAAAGACAUUCACUUUCUAAGUUCAAUGAAUGUCUCCUACUUUUCUUUCCUACAUACACAUGAAUCCAUGAUCUCUCUCAGUUUCAUGCAUAUUCCUCAGGGUAGGUCCUUAACCACUUUUCUUUUGCUUGGGCCUCAACUCAAUCACUCUAUAUUGUCCUUCAAAGAGAUUCUGUCCCAAACUGCUAGAAAAUUGGGGAACCAGAGUUUGUGCCUAAAGUUGUAGAAGAUGAACUGGUCUACAAACUCUUAAUUUCUUUGAACAGAUAAUGACAUUGGUGGAUGGAACUUCAACUUGGACAGAAGAUCCAAUUACAUGGUAUUGAAUUAGCCAAUCAGGAAUAACAAAUAUUGAUCGUCAAACCUUUAUUCUCAAAGGAGUUUUAAGACUAUUCUUAAACGUCUUGUAGAAAGAAAUCAGAGCAAAGUUAUCAGUCUCUUGUCUUCAAAAGAAGUCUAUAAGGUACUUAGAGGUUUAGAGAGGAUUAGUACGGUACUAGUAAGGACACACGAGAUAUUAGCUAUAAAGUUAGUGUAUUUGGUUAUCAAUAGAGAGGAUUGAGAGAAGGCAAACAAUUGUUGAGUGAUUUAGGGCUUCGGUUAACACACUCAAGACGAGUGGUUCAAGAUGCCUUAUAUUUUGUUAUUUUAGUAGUUCUUGAUCCUUUAUAUUUCAAUAUAUUUCAGUUCUUAAUUCCUGUUAGAUAGUAUAGUACCCUAACAAAGUCUAACCCAAUUAAAUAAGCCAUGACUGACAUGUGGUGGACUUCCACCUUGCAGCAAAGUGAUUCAGACAAUCCGGCAGCAGGGAUUGGGAAAUUUGUGCGUACCGCUAUUUCAGAGAAUAUGGUCUUGCUUAAUCCUUACAACGAAGAGUCAAAUAUGCAUUUUAGAAUUCAGGUUCUUUUAGAACUUUUAGAGAUUAAUUACAGAAUAAGGUCAUGACUAAAAGCAUGUCAAUUUUUCUAAUCCAAGUCAUCCAAAUAUUUCUCUUCACUUCACAUUUGGAGUGCGAGCUCAACAAUAUCAUUGUUGCAAGUUAUCUACUUGCACGUAGUUAGUUGCCAAAACUACUAUACACCAGUACUAUCAAGUAACUGGUAGGAAAAACUGUAGUAUUGUUGUUGUCAUGUUGUGCACUUGAACAAUCUCCAACUUUGAGUUAUCUAUAAAGUUUUGGUUCUUUGUAGAGGCAA
This is a long non-coding RNA of Cucumis sativus (cucumber), 2597 nucleotides long. RefSeq lists it as uncharacterized. The transcript has 3 exons. NCBI's taxonomy places the organism in Eukaryota, Viridiplantae, Streptophyta, Magnoliopsida, Cucurbitales, Cucurbitaceae. The record is from RefSeq and is a predicted model, not a curated record.